GUAGCGCCCGCUCUGAGGAGCGGGCGAGGAUUGAAAU
Molecule: non-coding RNA, 37 nt
Organism: Deltaproteobacteria bacterium
Lineage: Bacteria; Pseudomonadati; Myxococcota; Myxococcia
Source: Rfam